This 481-nucleotide ribosomal RNA is filed under the name uncultured bacterium. Its description in RNAcentral is "partial 16S ribosomal RNA". It matches the Rfam family "Bacterial small subunit ribosomal RNA", at positions 28 to 523 of the family's 1533-position model. The record is from RNAcentral.
GACGAACGCUGGCGGCGUGCCUAACACAUGCAAGUCGAACGGAGAUACGAUUUCGGUUGUAUCUUAGUGGCGAACGGGUGAGUAACGCGUGAGCAACCUGACUCUUAGAGGGGGAUAACACUGGGAAACGAGUGCUAAUACCGCAUAAGACCACGACAUGGCAUCAUGACGAGGUCAAAGGCGCAAUCCGCUGAGAGAGGGGCUCGCGUCCCAUUAGAUAGAGGGCGGGGUAACGGCCCACCAUGUCAACGAGGGGUAGCCGGGCUGAGAGGGUGACCGGCAACACGGGAAAGGAGACCGGUCCCAGCCCCCAACGGGAGGCAGCAGUGGGGAAUAUUGGGCAAUGGGCGAAAGCCUGCCCCAGAAACGCCGCGUGAGGGAAGAAGGCUUUCGGGUUGUAAACCUCUGUCCUUGGUGACGAAAAAAAUGACGGUGGCCAAGGAGGAAGCCCCGGCUAACUACGUGCCAGCCGCCGCGGUAA